GACGAACGCUGGCGGCGCGCUUAACACAUGCAAGUCGAACGGAAAGGCCUGCUUUCCCUUGUGGAUUGCGGGUACUCGAGUGGCGAACGGGUGAGUAACACGUGAGUGAUCUGCCCCCAACUUGGGUAUAAGCCUGGGAAACUGGGUCUAAUUCCCGAUAGGACUGCAGGGUGGUGCCUGUGGUGGAAAACGAUUUUCUAGUGGUUGGGGAUGAGCUCGCGGCCUAUCAGCUUGUUGGUGGGGUAAUGGCCUACCAAGGCGGCGACGGGUAGCCGGCCUGGGAGGGUGGACGGCCACAUUGGGACUGGGAUACGGCCCAGACUCCUACGGGAGGCAGCAGUGGGGAAUAUUGCACAAUGGGCGGAAGCCUGAUGCAGCGACGCCGCGUGGGGGAUGACGGCCUUCGGGUUGUAAACUCCUUUCGACCGCGAGGAAGCCACCUGGUUGGAAGGGUGGUGACGGUAGUGGUAGAAGAAGCACCGGCUAACUACGUG
RNAcentral lists this ribosomal RNA (494 nucleotides) under uncultured bacterium. RNAcentral describes it as "partial 16S ribosomal RNA". It matches the Rfam family "Bacterial small subunit ribosomal RNA", at positions 28 to 507 of the family's 1533-position model. The record is from RNAcentral.